This 572-nucleotide ribosomal RNA is filed under the name uncultured bacterium. Its description in RNAcentral is "partial 16S ribosomal RNA". It matches the Rfam family "Bacterial small subunit ribosomal RNA", at positions 355 to 920 of the family's 1533-position model. The record is from RNAcentral.
UGGGGAAUUUUGGACAAUGGGCGAAAGCCUGAUCCAGCAAUGCCGCGUGUGUGAAGAAGGCCUUCGGGUUGUAAAGCACUUUUGUCCGGAAAGAAAUCCUUGGCUCUAAUACAGUCGGGGGAUGACGGUACCGGAAGAAUAAGCACCGGCUAACUACGUGCCAGCAGCCGCGGUAAUACGUAGGGUGCAAGCGUUAAUCGGAAUUACUGGGCGUAAAGCGUGCGCAGGCGGUUUGCUAAGACCGAUGUGAAAUCCCCGGGCUCAACCUGGGAACUGCAUUGGUGACUGGCAGGCUAGAGUAUGGCAGAGGGGGGUAGAAUUCCACGUGUAGCAGUGAAGUGCGUAGAGAUGUGGAGGAAUACCGAUGGCGAAGGCAGCCCCCUGGGCCAAUACUGACGCUCAUGCACGAAAGCGUGGGGAGCAAACAGGAUUAGAUACCCUGGUAGUCCACGCCCUAAACGAUGUCAACUAGUUGUUGGGGAUUCAUUUCCUUAGUAACGUAGCUAACGCGUGAAGUUGACCGCCUGGGGAGUACGGUCGCAAGAUUAAAACUCAAAUGAAUUGACGGGGUC